UACGUAGGGCGCAAGCGUUGUCCGGAAUUAUUGGGCGUAAAGAGCUCGUAGGCGGCUUGUCACGUCGGGUGUGAAAGCCCGGGGCUUAACCCCGGGUCUGCAUUCGAUACGGGCUAGCUAGAGUGUGGUAGGGGAGAUCGGAAUUCCUGGUGUAGCGGUGAAAUGCGCAGAUAUCAGGAGGAACACCGGUGGCGAAGGCGGAUCUCUGGGCCAUUACUGACGCUGAGGCGCGAAAGCGUGGGGAGCGAACAGG
RNAcentral lists this ribosomal RNA (253 nucleotides) under uncultured bacterium. RNAcentral's name for it is "partial 16S ribosomal RNA". It matches the Rfam family "Bacterial small subunit ribosomal RNA", at positions 524 to 776 of the family's 1533-position model. The record is from RNAcentral.